Molecule: transfer RNA, 72 nt
Filed under: Bos taurus (domestic cattle)
Lineage: Eukaryota; Metazoa; Chordata; Mammalia; Artiodactyla; Bovidae
Also listed under: 3 other names
Rfam family: tRNA
About the family: Transfer RNA (tRNA) molecules are approximately 80 nucleotides in length. Their secondary structure includes four short double-helical elements and three loops (D, anti-codon, and T loops).
Source: Rfam by way of RNAcentral
CCCCUGCUAGCUCAGUUGGUAAAGAAUCUGCCUGUAAUGCAGGAGACCCAGGUUCGAUUCCUGGGUUGGGAA